GAUGGAAGCUUGCUUCUAUCAAUCUUAGUGGCGAACGGGUGAGUAACGCGUAAUCAACCUGCCCUUCAGAGGGGGACAACAGUUGGAAACGACUGCUAAUACCGCAUACGAUCCAAUCUCGGCAUCGAGGAUGGAUGAAAGGUGGCCUCUAUUUAUAAGCUAUCACUGAAGGAGGGGAUUGCGUCUGAUUAGCUAGUUGGAGGGGUAACGGCCCACCAAGGCGAUGAUCAGUAGCUGGUCUGAGAGGAUGACCAGCCACACUGGAACUGAGACACGGUCCAGACUCCUACGGGAGGCAGCAGUGGGGAAUAUUGCACAAUGGGCGCAAGCCUGAUGCAGCCAUGCCGCGUGUGUGAAGAAGGCCUUCGGGUUGUAAAGCACUUUCAGCGGGGAGGAAGGCGGUGAGGUUAAUAACCUCACCGAUUGACGUUACCCGCAGAAGAAGCACCGGCUAACUCCGUGCCAGCAGCCGCGGUAAUACGGAGGGUGCAAGCGUUAAUCGGAAUUACUGGGCGUAAAGCGCACGCAGGCGGUCUGUCAAGUCGGAUGUGAAAUCCCCGGGCUCAACCUGGGAACUGCAUUCGAAACUGGCAGGCUAGAGUCUUGUAGAGGGGGGUAGAAUUCCAGGUGUAGCGGUGAAAUGCGUAGAGAUCUGGAGGAAUACCGGUGGCGAAGGCGGCCCCCUGGACAAAGACUGACG
This 700-nucleotide ribosomal RNA is filed under the name uncultured bacterium. RNAcentral describes it as "bacterial SSU rRNA". It matches the Rfam family "Bacterial small subunit ribosomal RNA", at positions 71 to 745 of the family's 1533-position model. The record is from RNAcentral.